UGGGGCGUGGCUUGGUGGUAGAGUGCAGGCUUAGCAUGCCUGAGGCCCUGGGUUCAAUCCCCAGCACCAAAA
Molecule: non-coding RNA, 72 nt
Organism: Ictidomys tridecemlineatus (thirteen-lined ground squirrel)
Lineage: Eukaryota; Metazoa; Chordata; Mammalia; Rodentia; Sciuridae
Source: Rfam